RNAcentral lists this ribosomal RNA (379 nucleotides) under uncultured bacterium. Its description in RNAcentral is "bacterial SSU rRNA". It matches the Rfam family "Bacterial small subunit ribosomal RNA", at positions 1 to 411 of the family's 1533-position model. The record is from RNAcentral.
GCCCAGAGUUUGAUCCUGGCUCAGAACGAACGCUGGCGGCAGGCCUAACACAUGCAAGUCGAGCGAAGCCUUCGGGCUUAGCGGCGGACGGGUGAGUAACGCGUGGGAACGUGCCCUUUGGUACGGAAUAGCCCCGGGAAACUGGGUGUAAUACCGUAUGAGCUCUUCGGAGGAAAGAUUUAUCGCCAAAGGAUCGGCCCGCGUUGGAUUAGGUAGUUGGUGGGGUAAUGGCCUACCAAGCCGACGAUCCAUAGCUGGUUUGAGAGGAUGAUCAGCCACACUGGGACUGAGACACGGCCCAGACUCUUACGGGAGGCAGCAGUGGGGAACCUUGGACAAUGGGGGCAACCCUGAUCCAGCCAUGCCGCGUGAGCGAUGA